CCAGAGAAUUUAGCAGAGAUGCUUUAGUGCCUUCGGGAACUCUGAGACAGGUGCUGCAUGGCUGUCGUCAGCUCGUGUUGUGAAAUGUUGGGUUAAGUCCCGCAACGAGCGCAACCCCCUAUCCUUUGUUGCCAGCGAUUCGGUCGGGAACUCAAAGGAGACUGCCGGUGAUAAACCGGAGGAAGGUGGGGAUGACGUCAAGUCAUCAUGGCCCUUACGAGUAGGGCUACACACGUGCUACAAUGGCGCAUACAAAGAGAAGCGACCUCGCGAGAGCAAGCGGACCUCAUAAAGUGCGUCGUAGUCCGGAUUGGAGUCUGCAACUCGACUCCAUGAAGUCGGAAUCGCUAGUAAUCGUAGAUCAGAAUGCUACGGUGAAUACGUUCCCGGGCCUUGUACACACCGCCCGUCACACCAUGGGAGUGGGUUGCAAAAGAAGUAGAUAGCUUAACCUUCGGGAGGGCGUUUACCACUUUGUGAUUCAUGACUGGGGUGAAGUCGUAACAAGGUAAGCGUAGCGAG
RNAcentral lists this ribosomal RNA (522 nucleotides) under uncultured bacterium. Its description in RNAcentral is "bacterial SSU rRNA". It matches the Rfam family "Bacterial small subunit ribosomal RNA", at positions 988 to 1509 of the family's 1533-position model. The record is from RNAcentral.